CCAGACAACAUAAAAAUAAUAUAUCUGGCAGCCGAUACAGUGAUUUGUCAAAAAGUUAUGUUUAUUGUUUACUGCUAGUUUUUAUUUCUGUAGACGAAAAGUCGAUUUUCUGGUGCGUCGUAGCGGAUACAUUCGGAAUAUAUCCGGGAUCACGUUCGUCAACAGCAACAUCACUGACCUCGCUCCUGACAUGGCAUAUGAAUGCUGAUCCGAAUCUGAAAGCAGAAAAGGAAAUAUGCUACCAGCUCCCCGUGUCCGUAGCAAUGUUUCUUGAUGCGCGUAGGUCGUAGGCGCUAAGAUUUUCCCUAUGCUAUGGGAGAUGAAACUCUUUUCGAUGACAAAAAGAAAUGGCAUAUCCAGAUCUUUUUCCAUGGCGGAAGAAAGCGACAAAAAGGCCGGCACAGUAUCAGCGGAUCAGGAAGAUGCACAAAUCGACUGUCAACACCGAUUCCAAGUUAUCGCUCCAGUGGAAAGUGAUUACGACCAGCAGAAUCUAUUGGUCAACACCAAAAAAGACCAACAAAAAGCGUCGUCGGGACGACGACGGAGGACAUUUCCAGCGAUUUUGAAGCAUACGGCCUUUCUUGGCAUCAAAGGAGCUCGUAUCCAUUCGUUGCGACGGGUAAUGACGACCUACGAGAAGAUCGCACAGAUAAUCUGAAAUUAAGCCGCUAAAUGGUACCCUUCUUACCUCGGAAAAAAUUUCCGUCGGAUUUUGAGUCCUGCAGGGUUUAUGUGUAUUUUAAAUGGGGUCAAAAUCAAAAUCCCGGUUUAUUUAAAAUGCACGGGGACCGAAAUCCGCCGGACAAUUUUCCCGAGGUGUAAGGUAGCCUUGAAAACCGCUUUCGAACUGAUGACUUUUUUCGACUCGGCUAACAAGAGUGAAUUAGUCGACGUCAUCAUCAUCACGGUCUACCGGAAGGGGCACAUCUGGAUACACACGUACUGUGAAGAUGAGUCGAGGAGCGUUUCGUAAAGUUCGCUCCAGCACCAUGGAGUGCAGUUAGCUGGAGACCAAGGAUUCGGAAUCGCAGGAAGAGAAAAAGAAAUGAUUGUCCGCCUUCGGAGGAGGCAUGCGACUUAUGCGACUUUACCGGUGAGUGCAGUUAGCUGCAAAGCAAGGAUUCGGAAUCGCAGGAAGACAAAAAAGAAAUGAUGGUCCGCUUUCGGAGGAGGCAUGCGACUUUACCGGCUUUCUAUGUCGCAACCAAGGCGAUCGGACGGACGACGAAGACGAACGGAGCUGGAGCAAUAAGCUGACGCUGAGCUAACCGUGACCACAUCAACAACGGGGGCAAUGGACGUAGCUACAGCGGUGGCAACUAUCACAAAAGUGGUGGACGGGAUGGGAUCACCAUAUCAGAACCGAGACGGAUCGAAUGCGCACAUUUGCAUUACUCGAACCAAGGCGACGACGAUAUGGCAAGCAACUUGGAUCUAAAAUGAAAACCGUAACACACAAAAAUGAAUAGAAUGGUAUCAAUAAAUA
This is a long non-coding RNA of Armigeres subalbatus, 1489 nucleotides long. RefSeq lists it as uncharacterized. NCBI's taxonomy places the organism in Eukaryota, Metazoa, Arthropoda, Insecta, Diptera, Culicidae. The transcript has 3 exons. The record is from RefSeq and is a predicted model, not a curated record.